Molecule: long non-coding RNA, 214 nt
Organism: Trachemys scripta elegans
Lineage: Eukaryota; Metazoa; Chordata; Testudines; Emydidae
Exons: 3
Source: RefSeq, a predicted model, not a curated record
UGCAUGGGGCAGGGGCAGCGCGUGGAGCUCCCUGGCUGCCCUUGUGCCUAGGAACCAGAGGGAUGUGCCGCUCGCUUCCGGGAGCCGUUCUGAGCCAGAGCAGAUUUUUGUCCACUCUGCCGGUGGGGCUUUGGAAACCAGCCAGGAACGAGUGUGCACAUCAGGACCUUCAGAUGUUAACCUAAGAACGGCCAGACUGGGUCAGACCAAAGGU